GAUGCGAAAAAUGUGUUCAGAUGCACAGCACAGAUUUUGUGUUGUCAACAUUCAUCGCUAUCCUGUCACGUGAUCUCAGGACGGCGUCGAUUUGUCUGUUAUGCUCCUUAUAAAUUUUGAAUGUCCAAUUUGCAUUUGUUACCUGGAGUAAAUUGGACUCUUAUUUUUGAACUAAGAAGUGGUAUUUCGCGUUUUACGAUAAGUUCACAGUUCAGAGUCCCUAUUUUGUUUAUAGGACAACCACAGUUAUUUUUGGUUUUUAUAUGAUACUUCACUGUAUGGCCGAAUCUGUUCUAAUACGUUCUUCUGUGAUAGCAUUGCAAAACUACUUGAUAUUAAGCCAGUGCCUUUGAAAGUGUCUCGAAAGACAUCGAAUUUGCCGCACAUUAGCGAAGAUACAACCUAUUUCUACUGGUAACACUCUGAAGCAGUUGCCAAACAGCGCAGUGAAGAUUUAAGCAGUCAUGGAGAAGAAAAGAAAGAAGUGACUGAAGUAAAAGAUAAUGAAAUGUUAACAAUGGUGUCACAUUUCUAUGAUUCAAUAAAAUCUCUGACUGAUUUUCAUUCUCAGUAUCCACAGUUGACCACUUUGUACAUUACUGGGAUACCCCUUGAUUCCCUGAAUGGAGUGCAACAUUUACGACAUCUUACGCAGUUGUUUGCUAUGAAAUGUAAACUGCGAGUAAGCUUGCUUUCCUUUUACCAUAUUAAUGUUUCAGCACAUGGUGUUUGAGUCAGUACUAGGUUGAGCAUUACUUAAUUUAGAAAUCACUUCAGAUGACAUUAUGGAGAAGUUUACAAUUUUAAAUUAUGUUAUGUAUUCAGCAAUAGCACAGUUAAUAUUGGUUAUUGACUAUUGUCUGCUUAAUGUUAAUGUUUGUUCACAAGUGGCCCAGUAGUAGAACAUGUAUCUGAAUUCCAUCUGCACUCAGUUUAUGAAAAGUGGCCCCACUACGUUGUGAGAUAAGCAUGUAUGAAGACAGAAAAUUGACUGUGCUACUCGUAAGCAGUAAGUGAAGCAUUCCCAUCAAGAAACUCUCCAGUGGUGAUCCACAAUGAACAGCAGCAUUUAGGACAGCUUAAUAAGUCUACUUUGAUGAACUGUGCUCACUUUGACAUGGAAACCAUUCUACGAUUGCUGCCCUUAUGGGUAACUGGUCCAAAAAGGUCUCUCUUUCAUGGGUCUUCCAUACAGUAUUUUUCACUACACAGAUCUGUCUAUGUUAUAUGCAAAAUGUAAAAGUUGUAUGCUUCAGUGCCAUGCUG
Molecule: RNA transcript, 1266 nt
Organism: Schistocerca gregaria
Lineage: Eukaryota; Metazoa; Arthropoda; Insecta; Orthoptera; Acrididae
Exons: 2
Source: RefSeq, a predicted model, not a curated record